Molecule: RNA transcript, 1600 nt
Organism: Carica papaya (papaya)
Lineage: Eukaryota; Viridiplantae; Streptophyta; Magnoliopsida; Brassicales; Caricaceae
Gene name: protein MRG1-like
Source: RefSeq, a predicted model, not a curated record
UUUUAGUUUCUCACCGUAAUUUGUGCCUCUUCAUUAACGGUUCGGAACCGCCAAAAAACGCCCAGGUCCUCCCGGUCACACUUCACAAAUGAGAAGAGCCAAUGGCGAUUCUAUUACCGAAACGGAACGUUCCACCACCAUGACCAACUCCGAGUCCGAAAGCGAGACUGACGAGGACCUUGCUCCUUCUCUUGAUUCGAGUCCCUACAUUGAAGGCGAAAGGGUCCUCGUUUCUCAUAAUAAACGAAUUUACAACGCCAAGGUAAUGCAAGUUGAAUAUCGCAAGAAGGAGUGCAGGUUUUUAGUUCAUUACCUUGGGUGGAACAAAAACUGGGAUGAGUGGGUGGCUAUAGAUCGGUUGAUGAAACAUAAUGAUGAGAAUGUUCAGAAACAAAAAGCUAUUAAUGCAAAACAGGAUGCAGACAAGAACUUGAAUCGAGGGCGUGCAGUGCACAUUAGACCAAAAAGCUCGAAUGCUGCAAGGGGUAGAAAACGUAAGAAUGAUUCUCUCUGUAAGGAAAAGGGUGCCAUAUGCUCGGAGAAGUUUGUAAACCUCCAAUUGCCAUUGAUUCUGAAGAAGCAACUAGUUGACGAUUGUGAAUUUAUUACUCAACUGGGCAAGCUUGUUAAACUUCCUCGUUCUCCAAAUGUGGAUGGCAUACUGAAGAAGUAUCUAGAGUAUAGGUCAAAAAAGGAUGGCAUGGUAGCUGAUUCAGUUAGGGAAAUUCUGAAAGGUUUGCGCUGUUACUUCAACAAAGCAUUACCCGUGUUGCUUCUGUACAAAACUGAGCAUCAGCAAUAUGAAGAGAUGAUUGCAGAUGAUGUCUCCCCUGCAACUGUAUAUGGUGCCGAGCAUCUAUUACGCCUCUUUGGGCAAUUACUCUUGGAUCUGAGGCGUUAGAACUGAUAUCACAGUAUGUGAUAACUUGGCGACACUGACCUGGUGCAAUCUUAUAGAACUGAUAUCACAGUAUGUGAUAACUUGGUGACACCGACCUGGUACAAUCUUAUACCUUGUGAGUCUUUAUAUUUUAGUGUGAUAGUGAUAUGUGACCUUAAUGAGGAUUAUAUUGACCUAUAAUAUUAUAGUGUUAUGAAAAAUGUUUUUACUUUCCAUUAUUUUCUAUUCAUGACAGAGGCAAUCUGUAAAAGAACCUAUAACAGUAUGUAAAAGGCUUGUACUAUUCAUUAUUUACCAAAUGGAGAAGAACUUAUAACGAUAAAUGGAGAACUUAUAACGUCAAUGCUUAUUUCUCUUAAAUCUUCAUUAUUAUAGGGGCACUAUGUACAAGAAUAAUAUUACUUUUUUGGAUGGGAGAAUGUGAUUAAUGAACGUGUAUGCUGAAUUGUUUAUUGAUGUUGUUGCUGGGAAUUCUCUUUUUCCAAUUCUACGCAUUCAAGCUACACAGGUUAUUUUGUAUCUUUUACUAACCAUUUCUUGCAUUUGCAGUUAAAUUGCCUGAGUUGUUGUCCCUCAUAAGCAUUGAGGAGGAGACGAUGAUUGAGUUACAGCUAAAAUUAGUUGAUUUUCUCAAGUUCCUCCAGAAGAAUCAGAAUGCAUUUUUCCUGACCACAUACCUAACAGCAUAGCAUGUUACAA